UUUUUCACUAACCUCACGCCAUAGACACACACACACACAUGAUAGAGUUCAAGGGAGAUGGAGUUUCAGAGAGGAGAUAUAAGCUCAAGUUGAGAGAGAAAGUCGCCAAGAGAGAGAUCGAGAUCGGGAGUUCGAAAGAGAAGAUUUUGACCAAAAAUUAAGUUUUUCGGUCACUCGUUGUCAAGAACCAAAACUUGCUGAUCGAAUCAGCCUGAAACAAGCCUGUUCGGGUAGAUUCCAGCUUAAUUGGGUCAAUUCCGACAAAGUUCAGACUGAAUCCAGUAAGAAUUAGGGGUGCGGGUCUUGUUCUUCCUCGAUUUUGGGGAGAAAUAUAGCCAAAAAGUACUGGGUUUCUUGGAAUCCAAUCCUUGUUCCAUCGUCUUGCCGCCAAGCUCACCGGAGCUCCGGUAUCAUGGGUUUCUAUUAUUUUCUUCCUUCUGAAAUUCUAGUCCUAGUACUCGUUGGUCCACGCAGGUUUUAUUUUGUGCGAUCUAUACUUCGGUAUUUGGGCUCGAUCGUUCAUCGAUUCUAUUCUUAUAUCUAUUUUGUUCAAAUCGGAAUUUGUUCAUUGAUUUGCUGGCUGUUUCUUGACUGGUUCGGAAAGUAGUAAUUGAAGUUAUUUGCAUUCUUGGACUGUUACCCGGCUAAUUCGGAGGAUCGAGAUCUCGUUGGGGUUCUUCGAGGUUCUUGGACGGGCUCCUAUUUCUCUUAUUUGAAUUCAAAAGCUUUAUUUGAGGUCUAAUUCUCUCCUCUCUCCCUUUAUUUUAAUUUCGAUAUGAUUGUGGGUGUGAUUUGAUAUCUUGUGCGAUUUGUUGAUUGAUUUGGGUGAUGUUCGAUAUUUUAUUUUUUUUUUGCUUUUGAGUAAUUGAUCUCAGUGGUAUAAAGGUGAUGAUAAUAUGAAUUUGGAUUUGUAUUGAAAAGGAAUUUGGGGGUGGGGAUCGUAAAUUGAAAGAGUAAAUAUUAUAGUAAUUUUGAUUCAUUGUUGAUGUCGAACGGUGAUAGUAUCAUGGUAGGUUGAAUUGGAUAGGCAAAAGAUGUUUAGGUUCGGGUAGACAAAUUUAGGAAUGAUUUUUUGAAACAUGGUGGAAUGUUGGAAUGUGCGUAUGAAUGUUUCUUUCUAGUUUAUCAUAUUUAAUUCAAAAAAUAUACUCAUUUAGCCGGGGAAUGCCCCAAGGCAUAUUGUAUUUAUUCACCGGGGAAUGCCCCGACGUACUAUGUUGGCGGAAGACAUUCGUGAUGAAGUCCCAAGGCGCCGGAUAGAGCAUUAGUCUAGAAUUAAUUUAGAGUAAGAUUUAUUUUUACGCAUUUUUUAUUUUUGGACUGUAUAAUUGGACUGGACACUAGAUUUUGGAUUGUUUUAUCUUGUUUGCUUGAUUGCUUGUUUUGCAUGUUUUGUGUGGUUUAUACCCUCGUGGUGUCAAAGUUAGUCGAUACGCUCUACCAAGCGAUCGUGGUCGAACCAC
Molecule: long non-coding RNA, 1463 nt
Filed under: Capsicum annuum
Lineage: Eukaryota; Viridiplantae; Streptophyta; Magnoliopsida; Solanales; Solanaceae
Description: long non-coding RNA (CANN_LNC016917)
Source: RNAcentral